Malaclemys terrapin pileata is the source of this 3264-nucleotide long non-coding RNA. RefSeq lists it as uncharacterized. The transcript has 3 exons. The record is from RefSeq and is a predicted model, not a curated record. Lineage: Eukaryota; Metazoa; Chordata; Testudines; Emydidae.
GCCCUGGGAGGAGAGCUGCAGCAGCCAGAGCCAGAGGGGCCAGACAAGCAGCCAGGAAGCAGGUCAGAGCUGGGAGCAGAGUCAUAGAAGCAACAUGCAGAGCAAACCUGUCCUGGAGGCAGAGCUGUAGCAACCAGAGCCAGAGGGGCCAGAGAAGCAGCCCAGGGAGUUGAAGGCAGAGCAGCAGCAGCAGCCAUGCUGAGGCAAAGUGGAGCUGGGGCUGGAGCAGUCUGGAGCUGGGUGUGGUAAGCAGCUGGGGAGAGGAAGAAGACCCUGGGCAGAGGGCCUAGCACAGGGAGACGCCUCAGCCAAGAAACUCUGCAGGCCAGACUUGGAGGGGGAUUGUAACCCUGACAGGAUGGGGGUAAUGCUGGGAAAAAGGGUCCUGCCACCUAGAGCCUGAGAGCGUGUGGCCACCGCCAGAGCAAGUGUCCAACCUGCAGCGUCUCUGCAGCACAGCCAGGGCCUGAGAAGGAGGCCUGGGACCUACAAAAAACAGACUGUGAACUGCCCUGACAUUCCAAAAAGACUGUUUGUGAUGUUCCCUGCCACAGAGCAGCGUGAUGUUUUCCUUUAACUUUUCCCAUUUUUCCUUAUUCUUUUUUUAAAUUAAUUGUUAAUUAAACAACUUGUAUUUGCUUUAAAUUGUAUGAAAUAAUCAGUGGGUCAGGAAGGUGCCCAGUGCAAAAAAAGUACCCCGAAGUGGGAACACCCUAACUCCUGUCCUGGGUGACCACAGCAGGGUUGGGGGUCGAGACACCCAGGAAUCCUAGGCCCAGCCUUGUCGGGGUUUACAAGAACUCUGCCAGACAGGAGAGUGGAAGGGGAGACCUCAAGGGCAGGAAGGCCUCUGGAUAAAGGAAGUGGAAGCAAGGACUCAGAUCCUUUCGCUAGCCCACCUCACCGGGGUAGUGCAGAAGCCAGGAAAGUUCCCCACAAUAGCGGGACCAUUCCCCUGCUUACACAAGGGUAAACAGGACCAGGUUGACAGAUUACGGUGAUGACCGACGCCCAGCGCGCACUGGUGACUUUACCGGGGGCCUCGGCGGAGACGUGGUUUGGUCGACCCCGGAGGGCACAACGGUGCAACGCGCUCGAGUAGUGGAGAAGCAGCUGCGGGCGACGGUGGGGAACCGGUCCCAUGGAUAGGGCGACGGUGCAGAACCGGACCCUUGGAUAAGGUAUACCAGAGAUUUGCAGCCUCUCCCGCUGGAUGCCCCUGUCCACUCCUUGCAGCCAGGCAAUUCCGUUCUCGUUCGGACCUGGAAGGACAAGCCUCUCCAAGAGAAGUGGAAGGGACCCCACACCAUCCUACUGGUUUCCCACACAGCAGCAAAGGUCAAGGGACACAAGAACUGGAUUCAUCACUCCUGUCUGAAGGCAGUGCCCGCUCCUGAAUGGUGGACCGUCCAGCCUAUGGAAAAGGACUACCAGCGACGACCUGGGACUUAAACUGUUAUUCAAAAAAACAAUAAGAUCUGCCGGGAAUGCCCUGUGGUCUCUUUGGACAGUCGCAGCGCACUCCCCGUGAAAACUCUAAGCGUUGGUUGUGUUUACUCUCACAGGGCUGGCCUAACCUGGUGGCCUGGUCCUUUUGUUUUUAAUCUGCCUACUAUUGGUAAUUGAUAUUUUGUGGGUAUUUGGGGAAUUGUAAUUAUUAGGCCCUAGGGUCACCUGCCCAGCAUGAGUUCAGGUCCAGGGUCUGCCACAGUGGUACUCUUUGCCAUAGGGACACUCAUAGACUCAUAGACUUUAAGGUCAGAAGGGACCAUUAUGAUCAUCUGGUCUGACCCCCUGCAUGCUGCAGGCCACAAACAGUCCCUACCCUUCCCUUGACUCUGCUGAUGAAGUCCCCAAAUCCUGUGUUUUAGUGACUUCAAUUGGCAGAGAACCCUCCUGCUAGCGAUCCCUGCCCCAUGCUGCGGAGGAAGGCAAAAAACCUCCAGGGCCUCAGCCAAUCUACCCUGGAGGAAAAUUCCUUCCCGACCCCAAAUAUGGCGAUCAAUAAGACCCCGAGCAUGUAGGCAAGAGUCUCCAGCCUUUCGUUACCUCCCGUUCCCCCCAGGCACAUGUGGGAUGGAAAGGGAUCCCUACUAACUUGGAAACAAACACAUAUGAGUCCUUGAAGGUUUGCUUUGCCCAAGAGUUUAACCUCUCUAACUGCUGAGUAUGCUCCCAAAUCCCGCACCACGCAGCAGGGUUACCCUGGAGGGUGGUCCCCCUAAAUUGGUCAGAUAUCUGUUGGGGAUGGUUCAGUAGGGGAAGAAAUACCUCGGGUACCCCCUUGUCACAAAACUGUACCAUUGAAUCCCAGUAUGCAUUAAGGGACAACCCCUGGCCACCCCAGGCAGCGUAAAUCUUUGUAUGCCACCUCAGAGCCCAUUAAGGAAGAAGCUUAUGUCCCGGAAAACUCACAAGACAUUAACAAGCAUGUCCUGUCGGCCAAACAGGCUUUCAAGCAGUGGAAGGCUCAGGAAAGGAAACCCACAGUUUUCGAUUCCCUUUGAAGUUGGUUGCCCAACCUAGGAGGACGGGGGGGGUGGCCUUGUGCGUCUCCUCCUCACCGGUGUGGUAUUGUGCCUGGUCACCCUCCUCCUAAUUGCUUGUUUUAAAAUGCUCCUCCGUAAGCUUUGUGCCCCCCGUUCCUCAAAAAUCCCGGCAUACCCUCUCAUUGAAAACCCCAGCUUCAUAGCACUUAAUCAUAUCUUGUCCACAGAAUAUGAGAAAACUCAGCCAAAAGCUUGUUGAGUAUUCUCAAAGGAGGGAGUUGUUGACGUCACUAGGCAUAACCCUAGGUAACUCAGGAAGGUGGAAGGCCACUAAGUGUCAAUGAAGCCUUCCUGCACUAGGCCUAAGUGAACCAAACUCUAUCCUUUCAUGUUUAAACUCUAAUCAACCUCAAAAGCCAGGUGCAAUUGGAAUAUGUAAGCAACCAGUUAUCUGUGUGCAACCCCCUGCUCAAGCGGUAAUAAUGAGGCCUGCAUGUUUCUGGCUGAAGGGAAAAAGGACAAGAUAACGGUUUAAAGAAGUUACUAACAAGCUAGGCUUAUAGCUGCCAAGAAUGACUUAACUAUUACCAGGGACGGGAGGGGUAGAGGGAGGAAUGGAGGGGAGAAAGGGAGGGCUAGAGCGGAAAGUGGGGGGUGAGGCUUAACUGCAAAAUGUAUAAAAGAAGAAAAACUGUUCCUGUUAAUGUGCUUGAUUUGAGACUUGCCAGUCUCCUUGCACCACUUUGGGAUCCCAAAUAAACUUUGUUUGCUUCUC